This 300-nucleotide long non-coding RNA is filed under the name Phoenix dactylifera (date palm). Its description in RNAcentral is "long non-coding RNA (PDAC_LNC014897)". Lineage: Eukaryota; Viridiplantae; Streptophyta; Magnoliopsida; Arecales; Arecaceae. The record is from RNAcentral.
UGACCUUGAUUAUUGUCUCCAAAUGUCACUGCACCUCCCUUUUUAGGCUCUAGGGUGAAGAAUUGCUCCUUGUCACCCGUCAUGUGUCUUGAGCAGCCACUAUCCAAGCACCAACAGUUUUUGUUGACUUUGGCUGCAAGACACUCCUACAAAAGGAAAUCAUAUAAUUUUAGGUACCCAAGUUUUCUUGGGUCCUUUAAGAUUAGUAAAGUUGGUUCCUUUUGGAACCCAAACCUUUUUAUUUUUUCUUUUAGCUCCUACCUUCCUAUGGUCACACACAUUAGCUUUAUGUCCUACCUU